GACGAACGCUGGCGGCGUGCUUAACACAUGCCAGUCGAACGGAAAGGCCCUGCUUUUGUGGGGUGCUCGAGUGGCGAACGGGUGAGUAACACGUGAGUAACCUGCCCUUGACUUUGGGAUAACUUCAGGAAACUGGGGCUAAUACCGGAUAGGAGCUCCUGCUGCAUGGUGGGGGUUGGUAAGUUUCGGCGGUUGGGGAUGGACUCGCGGCUUAUCAGCUUGUUGGUGGGGUAGUGGCUGCCCAAGGCUUUGACGGGUAGCCGGCCUGAGAGGGUGAACGGCCACAUUGGGACUGAGAUACGGCCCAGACGCCUACGGGAGGCAGCAGUGGGGAAUAUUGCACAAUGGGCGGAAGCCUGAUGCAGCAACGCCGCGUGCGGGAUGACGGCCUUCGGGUUGUAAACCGCUUUCGCCUGUGACGAAGCGUGAGUGACGGUAAUGGGUAAAGAAGCACCGGCUAACUACGUG
This 468-nucleotide ribosomal RNA is filed under the name uncultured bacterium. Its description in RNAcentral is "partial 16S ribosomal RNA". It matches the Rfam family "Bacterial small subunit ribosomal RNA", at positions 28 to 507 of the family's 1533-position model. The record is from RNAcentral.